RNAcentral lists this ribosomal RNA (382 nucleotides) under uncultured eukaryote. RNAcentral's name for it is "partial 18S ribosomal RNA". It matches the Rfam family "Eukaryotic small subunit ribosomal RNA", at positions 592 to 976 of the family's 1831-position model. The record is from RNAcentral.
CAAUAGCGUAUAUUAAAGUUGUUGCAGUUAAAAAGCUCGUAGUUGGAUUUCUGGUUGAAGCGACCGGUCGGGCGUUGAUUCGUCUGCACUGGAGUCGGUUUUGGCCAUCCUCUAGGAAAGUGCGUCUGGUAUUAAGUUAUCGGGCGUAUGAUCCUGGUCUUUUACUGUGAAAAAAUUAGAGUGUUUAAAGCAGGCCUUCGCCUUGAAUACAUUAGCAUGGAAUAAUAAGAUAGGACUUUGGUCUAUUUUGUUGGUUUGCAGACCGAAGUAAUGAUUAAUAGGGAUAGUUGGGGGUAUUUAUAUUCCGAUGUCAGAGGUGAAAUUCUUAGAUUUUCGGAAGAUAAACUUAUGCGAAAGCAUUUACCAAGGAUGUNUUCAUUAA